GGUUCGGGACUCGCUUCGAUCUUUCGCUCGGCCUCUCCUUUUGGAGACGUCGUCGGACCGUUCGGUGUGUCCCGGCUGGUGAUGGGACGACGCAUGAGUGGCGAUCGAGAUGUGUUUCCUUGCAGGCUCCAUGCUUUUGGUAUCGAACUGCAUUGGCUUAUCUUCUUCAUUACGGAGCUUGCGUUUCCGCUUCUAGCGUUGAUUGCGAUCGCUCGUUGGGUUCCUGCGUUUCAUAUCGAAUUCGACAUUUGGAUGGRCUUCUAGUCUCGUCUCGGUUUAUCUAUCCCCGCUCGCCUCGUGCGUUAUCGGUGGUAAUUCUGUUGGCAUCGACGUUGGUCUUACGAGCCGCAGUGAGUAAUGUCGAGAUGUGUUCGUGACGGCACGUCGAUGCAGUCGGCUCUCUCGGGUGCAAAGAAUUUCUAGUCAUCGCAUCGGUCCAAAGACCCUUGUGAGCGUAACGUUUUGAAGCAUCGUUGCUUUUGCUUUUACGACCCUCGUUCUCGUCCAGGUGCUCGCGGAGCUUGUUCGUUCUGCGUUGUAACUGGAGAGUCAUCGAGGUCGAGGACGGAAUCUACCUGGUUGAU
RNAcentral lists this unclassified non-coding RNA (584 nucleotides) under Sonerila lobbii. RNAcentral's name for it is "partial contains external transcribed spacer and small subunit ribosomal RNA". The record is from RNAcentral. Lineage: Eukaryota; Viridiplantae; Streptophyta; Magnoliopsida; Myrtales; Melastomataceae.